RNAcentral lists this ribosomal RNA (877 nucleotides) under Staphylococcus pseudintermedius. RNAcentral's name for it is "bacterial SSU rRNA". It matches the Rfam family "Bacterial small subunit ribosomal RNA", at positions 1 to 859 of the family's 1533-position model. Lineage: Bacteria; Bacillati; Bacillota; Bacilli; Caryophanales; Staphylococcaceae. The record is from RNAcentral.
UUUAUGGAGAGUUUGAUCCUGGCUCAGGAUGAACGCUGGCGGCGUGCCUAAUACAUGCAAGUCGAGCGAACAGAUAAGGAGCUUGCUCCUUUGACGUUAGCGGCGGACGGGUGAGUAACACGUGGGUAACCUACCUAUAAGACUGGAAUAACUCCGGGAAACCGGGGCUAAUGCCGGAUAACAUGUUGAACCGCAUGGUUCUACAGUGAAAGACGGUCUUGCUGUCACUUAUAGAUGGACCCGCGCCGUAUUAGCUAGUUGGUGGGGUAACGGCCUACCAAGGCGACGAUACGUAGCCGACCUGAGAGGGUGAUCGGCCACACUGGAACUGAGACACGGUCCAGACUCCUACGGGAGGCAGCAGUAGGGAAUCUUCCGCAAUGGGCGAAAGCCUGACGGAGCAACGCCGCGUGAGUGAUGAAGGUCUUCGGAUCGUAAAGCUCUGUUGUUAGGGAAGAACAAAUGUGUAAGUAACUGUGCACAUCUUGACGGUACCUAACCAGAAAGCCACGGCUAACUACGUGCCAGCAGCCGCGGUAAUACGUAGGUGGCAAGCGUUAUCCGGAAUUAUUGGGCGUAAAGCGCGCGUAGGCGGUUUUUUAAGUCUGAUGUGAAAGCCCACGGCUCAACCGUGGAGGGUCAUUGGAAACUGGAAAACUUGAGUGCAGAAGAGGAAAGUGGAAUUCCAUGUGUAGCGGUGAAAUGCGCAGAGAUAUGGAGGAACACCAGUGGCGAAGGCGGCUUUCUGGUCUGCAACUGACGCUGAUGUGCGAAAGCGUGGGGAUCAAACAGGAUUAGAUACCCUGGUAGUCCACGCCGUAAACGAUGAGUGCUAAGUGUUAGGGGGUUUCCGCCCCUUAGUGCUGCAGCUAACGCA